RNAcentral lists this long non-coding RNA (317 nucleotides) under Struthio camelus australis. Its description in RNAcentral is "lncRNA (ENSSCUG00000003931.1)". Lineage: Eukaryota; Metazoa; Chordata; Aves; Struthioniformes; Struthionidae. The record is from RNAcentral.
UGCCAACUGCGCCUCCACCGCAGAAUAACACUGGGCAAGUGUCUCCACCGCAGAGUGUUGAGGGACGCCCCUUAAACCGCCAGCAAUAAGGACGUUUCCCAUGACCCCUUCUGUCCCAAAGUGCUGCCCUGGUGUGGCAACCUGCUUGUCCAGGCUAAGCUACAGCAGUAUUUUUAACCCUUUCUAGACUUGGCAGCAACACCAUCACGGCAGCCCCUUCCAGGUGUGAGAUGACCCAAUGCCACCAGGCGCUGGAUGCAGACGGUCCCCAGCAGACGCGCAGCACGGGCCCUUGCCGCUGGUGCCUUCCUCCAUCG